Molecule: non-coding RNA, 256 nt
Organism: Paramuricea clavata
Lineage: Eukaryota; Metazoa; Cnidaria; Anthozoa; Malacalcyonacea; Plexauridae
Source: the annotation of a GenBank genome assembly
UAAAGAUCGACCUUUUCUGCCGUAAAGGUCAAUCUUAAAAUUGAUUAACUAUCAAAUUGUAUACCGGUGUCCCGAAAAACACCGGACUCUGUUUGAUUUCAUGUAACGUAAAAGCUAUAAAAGCUAUCGCAGAUUCGCAAUGAAAUAAAGAUCAUUGCAUUCAUAAUGUAUGGAAGCCCAGGAGGCUCAGAUCAACUUUUUAUUUUAGUGUUUCAACUUUUCACUUUAGUGUUUUAACUUUUUAUUUUUGUGUUUC